AGAACACAUUUUUUAUCCCAUCUACCCGCAGAAUAAAAUGGAGUAGAGGUGAUUAAAUGUGUUCUGA
This 67-nucleotide microRNA precursor is filed under the name Caenorhabditis brenneri. RNAcentral describes it as "microRNA cbn-mir-7624 precursor". Lineage: Eukaryota; Metazoa; Nematoda; Chromadorea; Rhabditida; Rhabditidae. The record is from miRBase by way of RNAcentral.